This 497-nucleotide ribosomal RNA is filed under the name uncultured bacterium. Its description in RNAcentral is "partial 16S ribosomal RNA". It matches the Rfam family "Bacterial small subunit ribosomal RNA", at positions 28 to 507 of the family's 1533-position model. The record is from RNAcentral.
GAUGAACGCUGGCGGCGUGCCUAAUACAUGCAAGUCGAGCGAACGGACGAGAAGCUUGCUUCUCUGAUGUUAGCGGCGGACGGGUGAGUAACACGUGGAUAACCUACCUAUAAGACUUGGAUAACUUCGGGAAACCGGAGCUAAUACCGGAUAAUAUUUUGAACCGCAUGGUUCAAAAGUGAAAGACGGUCUUGCUGUCACUUAUAGGUGGAUCCGCGCUGCAUUAGCUAGUUGGUAAGGUAACGGCUUACCAAGGCAACGAUGCAUAGCCGACCUGAGAGGGUGAUCGGCCACACUGGAACUGAGACACGGUCCAGACUCCUACGGGAGGCAGCAGUAGGGAAUCUUCCGCAAUGGGCGAAAGCCUGACGGAGCAACGCCGAGUGAGUGAUGAAGGUCUUCGGAUCGUAAAACUCUGUUAUUAGGGAAGAACAUAUGUGUAAGUAACUGUGCACAUCUUGACGGUACCUAAUCAGAAAGCCACGGCUAACUACGUG